GACGAACGCUGGCGGCGUGCUUAACACAUGCAAGUCGAACGGAAAGGCCCUGCUUUUGUGGGGUGCUCGAGUGGCGAACGGGUGAGUAACACGUGAGUAACCUGCCCUUGACUUUGGGAUAACUUCAGGAAACUGGGGCUAAUACCGGAUAGGAGCUCCUGCUUCAUGGUUGGGGUUGGAAAGUUUCGGCGGUUGGGGAUGGACUCGCGGCUUAUCAGCUUGUUGGUGGGGUAGUGGCUUACCAAGGCUUUGACGGGUAGCCGGCCUGAGAGGGUGACCGGCCACAUUGGGACUGAGAUACGGCCCAGACUCCUACGGGAGGCAGCAGUGGGGAAUAUUGCACAAUGGGCGGAAGCCUGAUGCAGCAACGCCGCGUGCGGGAUGACGGCCUUCGGGUUGUAAACCGCUUUCGCCUGUGACGAAGCGUGAGUGACGGUAAUGGGUAAAGAAGCACCGGCUAACUACGUG
RNAcentral lists this ribosomal RNA (468 nucleotides) under uncultured bacterium. Its description in RNAcentral is "partial 16S ribosomal RNA". It matches the Rfam family "Bacterial small subunit ribosomal RNA", at positions 28 to 507 of the family's 1533-position model. The record is from RNAcentral.